CCUACGGGAGGCAGCAGUGGGGAAUUUUGGACAAUGGGCGCAAGCCUGAUCCAGCAAUGCCGCGUGCAGGAUGAAGGCCUUCGGGUUGUAAACUGCUUUUGUACGGAACGAAACGGUGAGCUUUAAUACAGUUUGCUAAUGACGGUACCGUAAGAAUAAGCACCGGCUAACUACGUGCCAGCAGCCGCGGUAAUACGUAGGGUGCGAGCGUUAAUCGGAAUUACUGGGCGUAAAGCGUGCGCAGGCGGUUAUAUAAGACAGAUGUGAAAUCCCCGGGCUCAACCUGGGACCUGCAUUUGUGACUGUAUAGCUAGAGUACGGUAGAGGGGGAUGGAAUUCCGCGUGUAGCAGUGAAAUGCGUAGAUAUGCGGAGGAACACCGAUGGCGAAGGCAAUCCCCUGGACCUGUACUGACGCUCAUGCACGAAAGCGUGGGGAGCAAACAGGAUUAGAUACCCUGGUAGUCCACGCCCUAAACGAUGUCAACUGGUUGUUGGGUCUUCACUGACUCAGUAACGAAGCUAACGCGUGAAGUUGACCGCCUGGGGAGUACGGCCGCAAGGUUGAAACGUCAAGGAUUGACGG
This 584-nucleotide ribosomal RNA is filed under the name uncultured bacterium. RNAcentral's name for it is "bacterial SSU rRNA". It matches the Rfam family "Bacterial small subunit ribosomal RNA", at positions 338 to 916 of the family's 1533-position model. The record is from RNAcentral.